Molecule: long non-coding RNA, 733 nt
Filed under: Strigops habroptila (Kakapo)
Lineage: Eukaryota; Metazoa; Chordata; Aves; Psittaciformes; Psittacidae
Description: lncRNA (ENSSHBG00005006897.1)
Source: RNAcentral
GAGACAAACAUUUCAAAACUUCCAAAGAAGUCUCAGGUGUAGACAUGUCACAAGUGAAAUGCUUUUAUGAGAAGAUCAGAAAGAAGCGAAACGUCUUCCAGAAGGUGCAAAAGGAGAUUGAGAAGUUACUGCCAUCGUUGUCUUCCUCUCCCAUCUCACCUGAAAAUUUCAGAGUCUACUUGAUCUUGCCUUUCCUUCUGCAGGGAGAGAACGACAGCUCUUACCGUUCUCUCCGGCUUCUAGCACAAGCCAUCACAAAGCUCCAGUCAAAGGACCUGCAAACUCUUGAAUGCCUGUGGUCAAAUCUAGAAACAUCAUUUUUAAAGGAGCUGGUCAUUCUAUAUCAGAGGGUUUCCCAGAAAAACCUAUCUCAGUUUAUAAUAGAACUCAUAUAUGACCAAAGAGACCCCUUCAGUCUGCGCCCACAUGAAACAGUGACUCUGCAAAUACUGCAGAUUCUUUACCAGGUAAGAAGGUGUUUGGGUCCUGAUUAGAUGAGUAUCAGUACAAGUUAGAAUAUUUUAAUCCUUUUUACUUGUUGAAUUUUCUGGGUUUCCUUCUUACAAAGGGAAGAUGGGGCCUCGUCAUUUGACAUUGCUUCAGGAAUCUCUUUGGCUCUACAACGUCAUAGCUUUGAAGGAAUCCUGCUCUUGAGUCAUGCCUCUGUAGAAAUUAAGAGCUUCAAGUAUGCGAUAGCCGCUGGCGGGAGGGGAUGCUUUCAGUGGUGUGAGAG